Molecule: long non-coding RNA, 630 nt
Filed under: Elaeis guineensis (African oil palm)
Lineage: Eukaryota; Viridiplantae; Streptophyta; Magnoliopsida; Arecales; Arecaceae
Description: long non-coding RNA (EGUI_LNC027610)
Source: RNAcentral
ACCCGUGGGAGAAUUGGGGAUUACUUGAUUGCAAUAAGCAGCAAGCUAGUUCAGAUUUCAGUUGCUUUUAAAAUGCAGAGCCUUUACUCUGUAAAUUCGGUAAAACAGCCUCAUUAAUGUUUACCAGUUUGAUGUAGAGAACAAUCUGUGCUGCGAACUCGUCCAAAUAUCAUUUGUCUGGAAAUCAGCAAUGAUCUGCUGCGUAAGGCAGUGAGCCAUCACAAGAGAGGAAGAAAGAAGAGAGUAAACACCAAAAUAAUGCUAGAAUAUUGACAACAAAAGAAGGAAAUAAGGGAAGAGAAGAACAAGAAGAGAGGAAAUAAUCUAUUUAUAAUCUGGUUGCAUGAAAAUUGCUUGGAAAACUUAUUUUCCUUGGAAAAUCUAAUUUUCCAUUUGUUUGUUUCGGGAGAAAAUUUCACAGUUUGGAAAGCUUAUUAUAUAUGUCCAAAUAACUUUUCUUUUCAUGGAAAAGUUCUGCUUUUUCUUUUUUUUUUUUUCUUUUUGGAUUUCCUUGCGUCAACACAAAUCCUUAGAGACUCAGCUGGGCUACCUAAUUAGCACAUCUCAACUAAGAAAUAAACACCAGGCUGCUCAGCCAGUCAGCUGAUUAAAUCAGAAAAUAAGACGGCC